This is a non-coding RNA of Ciona intestinalis (vase tunicate), 919 nucleotides long. The record is from RefSeq and is a predicted model, not a curated record. Lineage: Eukaryota; Metazoa; Chordata; Ascidiacea; Phlebobranchia; Cionidae.
GUAGAAGCAAACCGGUUCUGCCUUCUAUACCUUGAUGGAGAAGGGCUUUCAUCCACUUCAACUAAUGAACCAGUGGAAUAGGAAUGCUGGCGAUUGGCAAGGUUGCUUAUAUAAGAUGGAGAUCCAACUGAUCUCUCUUCUUCAUCCAUCGCCGUGACAACGGUCACGCUUGACUUCAUGCUAGAAGGAAUUAAUCCGUGACCUGUAGAUCGGAUUUUCUGACGACUUUUCUGGAUCAAGUUUCGACCACGAUACUGUCAAUUGUGUUUGUGCAUGAUAAAGUGUAUGAAACACAACACCCGUGUUAUAACCACUGUCCUUUUUUGGCUACGCGAGGACACAGCAAGUUACAAAAAUGAAUAGGUCUACUGCAUAGAAAAAGACAAAGCAAAAGGUGAUCGAAGUCUGAUCCUUUCUAGAGGUGCACUGCUGGUUUCAAUGCCAUUUCUUCUCCUCAUAUUAUCCGUCACAACGCUAUCCAGAGAAAAAGCUUGCCGGGUGAUACCAGAUACUGACAGUUGACAUCUUAUGCCCACACAACCGUUAAAAAAAAUCCCAACUUACUGUCAUCUGCUCCUGAACAGCUGGAGGACCCAAGAGAGAGUAAACUUCCAUAUGAGCUUCCUUGAGAUCUUGCAGGAGAUCCUGGUAUUGAUAACAAAUCCUUUUCAUCCCAUGCCUCUUUAGAUGACGAGAACAACCUCCUUUCUGGUGAGUGUCUUCCACUGUCAGAACUUGCCGGUGAAGAUGCAUCAACAAAAACGUGAUUACUUGGUCUUGAUGGUCUGGGUGGUGUACUUGGUGCUUGCUUGGAUAUUUGGGGCCUUGGUUCACUUGACUUACUUACCAAAACCACGAUCAGAAAACACUUUACGACAAGCUGUAUCUUCUGUAAGGUCAAUGCUGGUUUUUCCAUCCU